AUUUGAUUCUAUUUAUUUGUGGAUUCCAAUGGAAUAAUUAUAAUAAACUAUUCAAUUAUUUGUUUUUACCGAUUUAGUUUGGUACGGAACCGAACUGAUAAAAUGCUCACCCUACUUGAAAAGAGAUGUGAUCAACGGUUCAGAACACCCAUCCUGUCCUCGCUGUGAACAAUUCAAUGAGUUUUCCAACUUUUUUCUUGCAGAAUUUCACCUUAAAGUUUUUGGCAAUAGAAGUAUUGCAUUA
This 244-nucleotide unclassified non-coding RNA is filed under the name Hevea brasiliensis (rubber tree). Lineage: Eukaryota; Viridiplantae; Streptophyta; Magnoliopsida; Malpighiales; Euphorbiaceae. The record is from RNAcentral.